Etheostoma spectabile (orangethroat darter) is the source of this 337-nucleotide long non-coding RNA. RefSeq lists it as uncharacterized. The transcript has 3 exons. NCBI's taxonomy places the organism in Eukaryota, Metazoa, Chordata, Actinopteri, Perciformes, Percidae. The record is from RefSeq and is a predicted model, not a curated record.
AAUUACAGCAUGACGUUCUCCACAAAAACGACAAAAUAAAUACAAUAUGAAAACACAAAACAAACACCUGUCAUCUCAUCAAAGGUUAAUGAACUGGGCACAGCGUUGAUGGUUCACCGGAUUUCACUGUCUAAUGGUCACAUGGUCAAUGAUUAGUAAGACUCAUGUCCUCACUUCCAAUUCAAAUAGCUCUCUAAUAAAAAUAAAGUGGUGAGGAGUUACAUAUGCGCCAGUAGUUUGGGUUUUUUUUGGUCCUUUUUAAGAGGUCAUUCGUCCGAGCAAGGGAUGCGUUGUUGACACGGCGACGGUUAUCACCUGGACCGCGACAGGUGCUGGG